GGGCUGCAAUCAAAAAUUAAGAAAAAUAUAUAAGGUAUUCUUCUCGAAUAAAUAAUUAGAAUUAUCUUAUAGGUAUGAGUUUUAGGUGCGGUUACAACUUAUUGUACCAAAGUCAUGAAAGCGUAUGGAAUGCAAUGACUGUGUUGGAGUCCCACAUCGAUGGGUUAAAAUGUCCUAGGUCUCCUUAUAUGCUCUUGGAAAAUCCUCCCCUCAUGAGCACUUUUGAGGUUGAGUUUGGUCCAAGGUCCAUUUCUUUAUCAUGGUAUCAGAGUCAGGCCCACCCAGUUCAUUGUUUCCAAUGUUGGCCCCCCGCAUUAUAUUGUCCACGCUCCAGAUGUCCAGUCCUGGGCGUGCGGGGGUGUUGGAGUCCCACAUCGGUGGGCCCAAGGAUACUUGGUCUCCUUAUAUGGUCUUAGGCAAUCCUCCCCUCAUGAGCUAGCUGUUGAGGUUGAGUUAGGGGGUGUUGGAGUCCCACAUCGGUGUCUUAUAUUGUCCACGCUCCAGAUGUUCAGUCCUGGGCGUGCGGGGGUAUUGGAGUCCUACAUCGGUGGGUCCAAGGAUCCUUGGUCUCCUUAUAUGGUCUUAAGCAAUCCUCCCCUCAUGAGCUAGCUGUUGAGGUUGAGUUAGGGGGUGUUGGAGUCCCACAUCGGUGUCUUAUAUUGUCCACGCUCCAGAUGUUCAGUCCUGGGCGUGCGGGGGUGUUAGAGUCCCACAUUGGUGGGUCUAAGGAUCCUUGAUCUCCUUAUAUGGUCUUGGGCAAUUCUCUCCUCAUGAGCUAGCUUUUGAGGUUGAGUUAGGCUCAAGGUCCAUUUCUUUAUCAGCAUGGCCCAUUGUAUGCUAUGUGGAUUUGAUGUGCCAUUCCUCACCACACCUCGAAAAAAUUUAAGAACAAUGACAAGCAAUGAGAAUUACCCCGAAAUUAGGACAGCC
RNAcentral lists this long non-coding RNA (930 nucleotides) under Capsicum annuum. RNAcentral's name for it is "long non-coding RNA (CANN_LNC001572)". The record is from RNAcentral. Lineage: Eukaryota; Viridiplantae; Streptophyta; Magnoliopsida; Solanales; Solanaceae.